Molecule: non-coding RNA, 2829 nt
Organism: Rattus norvegicus (Norway rat)
Lineage: Eukaryota; Metazoa; Chordata; Mammalia; Rodentia; Muridae
Source: RefSeq, a predicted model, not a curated record
UUGACAGCACUAAAUGUCCCACUUUGUCCUUAGAUUCUUAUUUAGGACACAUGGGAACUUCGCCAUAAAUUUCUAGAAGCGGAACUGUGGCUCUGGGGUAUAUUCUUUCAGUUAUAUUGCGGGUCAUACCCAUGGCUCCCACUGUGGUGUAUCCUUGCCCACAUGCAAGCUGGGCAGCUUUGGCAGUGUCUGUUCAUCUACCAGCUGGUCUCUGGCUAUGGUUGUUUGUUAUGUGUUGUUUUGUUUUGUUUUGAAAUGGGGUCUUAAUAUGCAACCCAGGCUAGCCUCAAACUUGUGAUGUUCUUUCCUUCCAAGAGUUGGGAUUACAAGCUAUGCUACCUUAUCCUGUUAUGCUGUGGUUUCAGAAUUAACUUCCCAGAUGACUGGUGACAUUAGGCAUUUGUACAUGGGUAUUAAAAAACUCUUCGCCGAGUUUUGUGGUAUAUAGCUUUAUUCCCAGCACUCUGGAAGCACAGGCAGGAAAAUCUCUAUGAUUUCCAGGCCUGUCUGGUCUUCACAGUAAGUUCCAGACAAGCAAAUGUGACUCAGUUUUAUUAAUAACUCCAUUGGAAUACCAGAGAUUUUGUAUUACCUGUCUUCCAGACAUCCUGCAAAGUAUUUAUUCCAUUCAUGUUCAAAAAUAUUUUGUUUUGCAUAUGGUGCUAGGUAUUGAAUCUAGUUCAAGCAAAUAUUCUCUGCCACUAUAGUCCAUCCAUUCUACAGCCUGCACAAGCUUUAGCCUUGCCAUACUGCUUUAGUCUCUUAGGUAGCUGGAAUUUCAGGCCUGAACUCUCUACAUCUGGCCUUAAAACACAGAAAUCCACCUGCCUCAGUCUUCUGAAUACUAAGAUUAAAGACAUGGGCUACCACACCAGACAAAACUAGGCAUUUUUUAUGGUAAUUGGUAAGCAAAAAUUUAGUAAAUAUGGUUCCCGUUAUUUUACUCAAAUUUCCUUUACUCCAGUGAAAGUAGAACAAAUCACUGUAAAGGAGGGUUUUAAUGUAUUAUAAUGCACCAGGACACCUGGCCGGAUAUGGGGUUUCUUAAUCUAUUCCCAAGUUAACUAAUUUGAAAACACUGGAUGUCGACAUCACUUUGGUUUGGUUUGUUCUGGUUUGGUUUUUGAGACACUCUAGCUCUGGCUGGCCCAGAACGUGAGAUAUAAUCCAAAUUGGUCUCACCAUCUCGCAUUCAUCAUCUCGCAUGUGCUAAGUACUCAACUACAUAUACUUCUCAGGAGAUGUCUGGCUGGAGAGACAGGAGCACAGGAUUCUACAAGAAUCAGCGUAGGCCGCUGGGGUCCCGCCAGCUAGAGAGCAGAGAAACCAUGAGUCCGGCAGCACCCAAAGCAAGGUGGGACGUAGGACUGAGGCAUCUACCCGGGGAAGACCCGGCGCCUCCUACACUUGCUCCGACAUUCACCACGUCUGCUCUCUGGCCCUCUUGUGGUUUCAAGAGGGAUCCAGAGGUCCGCUGUUACCGAGCCAAAGAGGACCAUAGGCGCAGCCCUCGCAGCUGACCAGUACGUGCCAGGAAGAAAGAUGGCGGAUGGGGCAUAUCCGCUUUCUGCCGGCGUUCCUGAUUGGACAGCUGGCCGCAGGGACGUUUACCAUAUCUGGGCCCAAAGCUUCCUGGGGCCCGAACAAUGAUCCUAGUGUUGGCAACCGCACAGCACGAACCCUGAACGGCCGCCUGUGACUCCCUCAGCUGACAGGACAGUAUCACCACAAUGGCCUGGCAAGUAAAAGAGAUGGCCGGUGAGGAACGUACGCUCCACCAAUCGGCGCUCUGAUUGGAUAGCUCGUGUUGAGCUCUGAGAUACUAAUUGGAUAAGCGAUCAGAGCCACCCCACCCCCUACGUGAAGCUUGUGGUAAACUCUUUUCUAAGUGGGGCACAACUGCCAUAUUGCAGCCGUAACUCUCACAACCCUGGUAGAAAUCCGCUAAUCUUGAUAAUUGCAUUUUAAACAGAAUUUAGACUUGGUUUUUCCAAAGAAGGCCUUUCCCGCUUCGUCCCCCUGGAAAUUAAGUCCGGAGUCUGCUUAAAGUCAGAUUUAGUGUACCAUGGAUACAACCUUAAAGAAAGGGUUCCUAGGCCCGCCACAGAGAAAAAGGGAUGUCCAGCCAGGGCAGGCCUACUGAAAAAGAAGAGAUCUAGUGCCACACAUGAGAAACUUGAUGUUUGCAUCGUAGCAAAAGUUUUCCUCUACCUUUCACUCAGUCUUUUUUCAUUUUCUCAUUUUCAGCCAUGAAAAGAAAAAUAUGCCAAGAGAAAACAGUUAUUCGAUAUAUUUCGAUGUACAUGAAAAGUGCAGUUACAUGGCAGCAAUCAUAAGGUUCUCCAGGAAUGCAGGGGCCAGUUUGUUUGCUCUGCCAAUAAAAGCAAUUUUAUUAGAAUUUCAAAGGACAAUCCCCACUACAGCUGCUGGAAUAGGAGUGGAGGAGAAAAACAGCCAUAGCAUUUGAGUUACAGCUACCUGGAGGUCAGCCACGCAGAGACAUGCAGUCACAUGGCAGAGAGGGUACCUUAAUGGGAAAGGAUCAUCACAGCCACUCCUAAAUGGGCACCAUUAUCUCUGGCCAUGUGGCUGGCUCGCUGCAUGUUUAAGUCAAUAUUUGUUUGCGAGAGUGUUUUGCCUGCUCGUGUACAAGUUCCCACAUAUGUGCCUGGUGCUCCCACGGGUACUGGGAACUGGACUUCAAUCCUCUGCAAGAACAGUACUCCUAAUCACUGAAUCAUUACUCCAGCUCUCUUGUGUUAACGCUGAUGCUUCUGAAAUCUCUCCCUACAUCCUAUCCUUUUACUUCAAAUAAAAUGCUCUAACUGA